RNAcentral lists this unclassified non-coding RNA (429 nucleotides) under soil metagenome. RNAcentral's name for it is "partial contains 5.8S ribosomal RNA, internal transcribed spacer 2, and large subunit ribosomal RNA". The stretch from base 1 to 120 matches the Rfam family "5.8S ribosomal RNA", at positions 35 to 154 of the family's 154-position model. The record is from RNAcentral.
GAUGAAGAACGUAGUGAAAUGCGAUACGUAAUGUGAAUUGCAGAAUUCAGUGAAUCAUCGAAUCUUUGAACGCAUAUUGCGCUCUCUGGUAUUCCGGAGAGCAUGCUUGUUUGAGUAUCAGUAAACACCUCAACUCCCUUUUCUUUUUUGAAAUUGGAGCUGGACUUGAGUGAUCCCAACGCUUUCUUCCAAGAAAGUGGCGGGUUGCUUGAAAUGCAGGUGCAGCUGAACUUUUCUCUGAGCUAUAAGCAUAUCUAUUUAGUCUGCCUAAAAAACAGAUUAUUACCUUUGCUGCAGCUAACAUAAGGAGACUAGUUCUUGUGCUGACUGAUGCAGGAUUCACAGAGACAGCUUCGGCUGACUUUGUAAACUCGAUCUCAAAUCAAGUAAGACUACCCGCUGAACUUAAGCAUAUCAAUAAGCGGAGGA